CUGUUACACCUUGAAAUGCCAGUGCAACAGGCACUCCUAACUGCUUAGAGUCAUGUGUAAAGCUCAUAUAGGGGAAAGAGAGCAAGCCUUGUUUCCUGUAGAGCAUUGUGGCUGGAGGUUGGGAGCCCUUGGGGGUCUACAAGAGCAGAGUUGUUUUCAGAGUAUGCUGUACUGAGGGUCCUGUUGAUCACAGCGGUCGUCAAGAUUCCUGCCAAGAUGAGAACAUAAUGAGAUAGCUGAGCACAGUAAUUCUGUGACUCAAGGCUGGAAACAGAAAAUGGAGGAAAGAAUCAGGGAAGUGGAAAAGAACCAAAGAUUUUAUUAUUUGGGUAAGGUGGCCUGAAAUUUUUACUUUAAAACAACUAGUAAUGUUUAAUGCUUGCUUUAAUUAUUUAUUUAAUCAGUUUGAAGGAGCAGUCUUGAGUAGAAUAUCCUGCCACUGAAGUAGACUUGAUAUGAGCUCAGAGGCUCACCAUGGGAGGUUAGUUUGUUGUUCUCUUCUGUGGCCUUGUGCUGGGCUCGAUACAACCAAAUGACAGCUAUGGGGUG
Molecule: long non-coding RNA, 549 nt
Filed under: Anser brachyrhynchus (Pink-footed goose)
Lineage: Eukaryota; Metazoa; Chordata; Aves; Anseriformes; Anatidae
Description: lncRNA (ENSABRG00000016727.1)
Source: RNAcentral